Long non-coding RNA from Catharus ustulatus (Swainson's thrush), 482 nucleotides. RefSeq lists it as uncharacterized. The transcript is spliced from 4 exons. Lineage: Eukaryota; Metazoa; Chordata; Aves; Passeriformes; Turdidae. The record is from RefSeq and is a predicted model, not a curated record.
AGAAGCUGUUCUCUGAUUGGUUCAUCGUUGGAACACCGGGAAACCAUGGAUUUCAAACCGUUUUGGCUCGGAGCAGGACCGGCAUGGUACCAGAAAGACUUCCAUUUGGCAGCUGUGUGUUCUGCAGCAUAUAUGGCUUAGUGGAGUCAUUGAAACAUUGUCAGUCAGAUGUUUUUCCAAGGCCAUCAGUAGGACGUGGUUGUGAAAGACUGGUGGAAGAUCAGAGGGCUCUACUCCACAUGCUGACACAUUGAGAAUAAAUGAAAUCUAAUAAUUAGGAGAGAAUGAGCAACACUCAUAUCUGGCACAUAUAUAACGAAUGAAGAUGUUAAAAACUGACUCAACACGUUGCUUUGCUUGCGCUCAACAGAAGUAAUGAAAAAUUACCUCUUUGUAAGACUAACUCACUGUGCUAAUUCCUUACAAUAAUUGGCACCAGUGUUGCUAUAACUCAUUAUUAGUUGCAUAUCAAUUAGCUUGAA